GCCUCCCUCCGCCGCCCACUCAGACUCCUACCGGAGGGCAGCAGUAAGGAAUAUUGGUCAAUGGGCGCGAAGCCUGAACCAGCCAUGCCGCGUGCAGGAAGACGGCCCUACGGGUUGUAAACUGACUUUUAUACCGGUAAUAAACCCUCUUUAACGUGUUAAGGAGUUGAAUGUACGGUAGAAUAAGGAUCGGCUAACUCCGUGCCAGCAGCCGCGGUAAUAC
Molecule: ribosomal RNA, 223 nt
Filed under: uncultured bacterium
Lineage: Bacteria
Description: partial 16S ribosomal RNA
Rfam family: Bacterial small subunit ribosomal RNA
Source: RNAcentral